This is a non-coding RNA of Chryseobacterium sp. SCN 40-13, 47 nucleotides long. The record is from Rfam. NCBI's taxonomy places the organism in Bacteria, Pseudomonadati, Bacteroidota, Flavobacteriia, Flavobacteriales, Weeksellaceae.
UACUUUUGCACCUCGUUACAUAAUAAUCAUUAAAUAAUAUUGGCAUG